AUGGCUCCACGACUAAGUCCUUUCACGAGGACAUCUACCGUGACAAACCCACGACAGAUGGCGCCCACUAUGGGGCUAUCGCACGAUGGUUUUGAGUUCUUGAAGGGCAGCUUCGAUGGACUCAAGGGAUACGCUGUGGGCCGGAUGACGAAGAGUCGCCGCGGCAAGCUCUACAUCGACAAUGUAGGAUGGGGUCCCGAGGCCGAUUCAAUCGAAUACGGGUACCGGGUCCCCUUUGGUGGGAUUCAUGUCUUCAUCAGCAAGAUCGGCGAACCGGCCCCCGAGCCGGACAUCUGCACCGACAUCAUCGGAACGGCUCGGCGUGCAAGUUCUUCGCCGGUUCAGCCCGAGGCAAGGCAUGUUUUCGUAGGUGUCGUCCAUGGAUCGGGGUACAAGGACGGACUGGUGUCCGAUGGAGAAACCGUAGUCUGCUCUGAUGAUGAGUCUUCUGGAGAAACUGAAUCGCUUUACCAGUUGCAGGACGACCGGAUUGAGGAAGGAUCCGAGGGCAACAGUAUUCUGGAUUCCCCCGGUCUGCCAAACCGGGCCGCCAUCUUCAUGGCCGGCACACAAUCGGCGCCUCAUUCAUCUACCGUCACAGCAAUGCUCUCCGGUUCAAUGACGGCCACACCAGCAGGGGCAGGAAGCUCGGCGCCACCUCCGGCCCAAGUCUUGUCUGAUUUGUUCGAUGUUCUGGCAACAUUGAUGUCCGCGGAGGUAGACGUAGCAGCCAGGGAUCAGCACGAUGCGGAGAUUGUAAAAGUGAAAGAUCAGAUAGCCCAGGCUAAAGCGGACCUGGCAGCCGAGAACGCCAGGAUGACUACGGAGUGGGCCGAGUUGGAAGCACAGGCUUACCGAAUUAGACUGGAUCAGAAUGCUUCAGAGGAAGUCAUGAGAAGAAGGUACCGAUCAUGUCUCCCGUCGGUUUAUGAGCCGUAG
RNAcentral lists this ribosomal RNA (939 nucleotides) under Triticum aestivum (bread wheat). RNAcentral's name for it is "partial small subunit ribosomal RNA". The record is from RNAcentral. Lineage: Eukaryota; Viridiplantae; Streptophyta; Magnoliopsida; Poales; Poaceae.